AGUGAACGCUGGCGGUAGGCCUAACACAUGCAAGUCGAACGGCAGCACAGUAAGAGCUUGCUCUUACGGGUGGCGAGUGGCGGACGGGUGAGGAAUAAAUCGGAAUCUACUUUUUCGUGGGGGAUAACGUAGGGAAACUUACGCUAAUACCGCAUACGACAUACGGGUGAAAGCAGGGGAUCUUCGGACCUUGCGCGAUUGAAUGAGCCGAUGUCGGAUUAGCUAGUUGGCGGGGUAAAGGCCCACCAAGGCGACGAUCCGUAGCUGGUCUGAGAGGAUGAUCAGCCACACUGGAACUGAGACACGGUCCAGACUCCUACGGGAGGCAGCAGUGGGGAAUAUUGGACAAUGGGCGCAAGCCUGAUCCAGCCAUACCGCGUGGGUGAAGAAGGCCUUCGGGUUGUAAAGCCCUUUUGUUGGGAAAGAAAAGCAGCAGGUUAAUACCCCGCUGUUCUGACGGUACCCAAAGAAUAAGCACCGGCUAACUUCGUG
This 492-nucleotide ribosomal RNA is filed under the name uncultured bacterium. RNAcentral's name for it is "partial 16S ribosomal RNA". It matches the Rfam family "Bacterial small subunit ribosomal RNA", at positions 29 to 507 of the family's 1533-position model. The record is from RNAcentral.